AGUCCGCAACCCGACUACAUGAAGCCGGAAUCGCUAGUAAUCGCGAAUCAGAAUGUCGCGGUGAAUACGUUCCCGGGUCUUGUACACACCGCCCGUCACACCAUGGGAGCCGGUAAUACCCGAAGUCAGUAGCCUAACCGCAAGGGGGGCNCUGCCGAAGGUAGGAUUGGCGACUGGGGUGAAGUCGUAACAAGGUACC
Molecule: ribosomal RNA, 199 nt
Filed under: uncultured bacterium
Lineage: Bacteria
Description: partial 16S ribosomal RNA
Rfam family: Bacterial small subunit ribosomal RNA
Source: RNAcentral